GACGAACGCUGGCGGCGUGCCUAAUACAUGCAAGUUGAGCGCUGAAGGUUGGUACUUGUACCAACUGGAUGAGCAGCGAACGGGUGAGUAACGCGUGGGGAAUCUGCCUUUGAGCGGGGGACAACAUUUGGAAACGAAUGCUAAUACCGCAUAAAAACUUUAAACACAAGUUUUAAGUUUGAAAGAUGCAAUUGCAUCACUCAAAGAUGAUCCCGCGUUGUAUUAGGUAGUUGGUGAGGUAAAGGCUCACCAAGGCGAUGAUACAUAGCCGACCUGAGAGGGUGAUCGGCCACAUUGGGACUGAGACACGGCCCAAACGGCUACGGGAGGCAGCAGGAGGGAAUCUUCGGCAAUGGGCGAAAGUCUGACCGCGCAACGCCGCGGGAGGGAAGAAGGUUGUCGGGUCGUAAAACUCUGUUGGUAGGGAAGAACGUGGGUGAGAGUGGAAAGCUCAUCAAGUGACGGUAACUACCCAGAAAGGGACGGCUAACUACGUG
RNAcentral lists this ribosomal RNA (497 nucleotides) under uncultured bacterium. Its description in RNAcentral is "partial 16S ribosomal RNA". It matches the Rfam family "Bacterial small subunit ribosomal RNA", at positions 28 to 507 of the family's 1533-position model. The record is from RNAcentral.